Fukomys damarensis (Damara mole-rat) is the source of this 104-nucleotide small nuclear RNA. The record is from Ensembl. Lineage: Eukaryota; Metazoa; Chordata; Mammalia; Rodentia; Bathyergidae.
GUGCUCACUUCAGCAGCACAUAUACUAAAACUGGAAAGAUACAGGGAUUAGCACGGCCCCUGUACAAGGAUGACAUGCAAAUUUGUGAAGCAUUCCAUAUUUUU